GCAGAACGCUGGCGGCGUGCUUACACACCGCAAGUUCAACGAUGAAGCUGGAGCUUGCUCCGGUGGAUUAGUGGCGAACGGGUGAGUACACGUGAGCAAUCUGCCCUUCACUCUGGGAUAACUACGGGAAACUGUAGCUAAUACCGGAUACGAUCCCUAGGGCAUCCCUGGGGAUGGAAAGAAUUUCGGUGAAGGAUGAGCUCGCUGGCCUAUCAGCUAGAUUGUGUGAGAGUAAAUGGCUCACCAAAGGCGACGACAGUGGUAGCCGGCCUGAGAGGGUAGACCUGGCCACACUGGAACUCGAGACACGGUCCAAGACUCCUACGGGAGGCAGCAGAUGGGGAAUAUUGCACAAUGGGCGAAAGCCUGAUAGCAGCAAACGCCGCGUGAGGGAUGAAGGCCUUCGGGUUGUAAACCUCUUAUUAGCAGGGAAGAACGGGUAACUGACGCGUACCUGCAGGAAAAAGCACCGGCUAACUACGUGCCAGCAGACCAGACGGUAAUCACGUAAGGUGCAAGCGUUGUCCGGAAUUAUUGGAGCGUAAACGAGCUCGAUAAGCCGUCUGUCAGCGUCUGACCUGUUGAAAAUCCAAUGCUCAAACAU
This 604-nucleotide ribosomal RNA is filed under the name uncultured Actinomycetes bacterium. RNAcentral describes it as "bacterial SSU rRNA". It matches the Rfam family "Bacterial small subunit ribosomal RNA", at positions 28 to 615 of the family's 1533-position model. Lineage: Bacteria; Bacillati; Actinomycetota; Actinomycetes. The record is from RNAcentral.